Molecule: unclassified non-coding RNA, 379 nt
Filed under: Hevea brasiliensis (rubber tree)
Lineage: Eukaryota; Viridiplantae; Streptophyta; Magnoliopsida; Malpighiales; Euphorbiaceae
Source: RNAcentral
GGUAUAUGAAGCCAUUGUUAGGCUCAUUCAUGAUACAGGUGAUGUAAAUGGCUUUCUAAUGUUUAUAGUUGCUGCUUUUGGUCUGGUGGUAAAUGUUAUCAUGGCUCUUUUAUUGGGCCAUGAUCAUGGGCAUGGCCAUGAUGGUCACAAUCAUGGGAUUGGCCACAUCCAUGGGGAGAAAAUUACCACUCACCACCACCACCACCAGCAUGAAGAGCACUUGAAAGACAAGCACUGUCAUCACGAGGAGCACUCAAAAGAUGAGCACCAUCCUGUGUCUGAAGAAUAUGUUGUGCCAUUGCUGGAUAAAGGAAAAGGCAAGCAUGGGAAAAUUCAGCGAAACAUAAAUGUACAAGGGGCUUAUCUCCAUGUACUUGGG